CUUGGCAACAGCUUUGGUGAAGAAAUAUUUCCUAAUAUCCAAUCCCAGCCUUCCCUGACACAACCUGAGGCCAUUUCAUCUUGUCACCUGGGAGAUGAGUGUCCCCCACCUGACUACAACCUCCUUUCAGGUAAGAGAAUGAAAAAUUUGCAGCAUGGGCUGACCUUCCUUCUGGACAUUCCAGAAGAUUGAGCUGAAGCUCCUCAAAGCCAGCUUUCAUCAACCUUAAGACAAACCUCCUAGAAACUUCUGGCAGAUGAUUUCUCUGAUGGCUGCUCCUUCCAAACUCAACCUUUGUGACAGGUGGAGAAGUAAGUCAAGAGAAUAGAAUGAGUGGAGCAUCAGUAAACCAGGUUCUGUUUCUGACAUGAGAUCCAGUCCCUGCUCAGAAGAACAGCCCUGUUGGUUUCAGCAGGCUACCUGUGAGAAACAAAGACCUGGUGCCACGUAGCUACACAUGUCACAGAGCUUUUGUAUUAUGCAGAAGGAAGCACAAGAGCCUUUGGAGGCAGGAAAGCAUCUGGAAGCCCCGAGCUUCUGCAGGAAUUGAUACUGCAGCAUUUUCAUUCACUAUGAAAUUCAGCUGCUUCUGAGUCCAUAACUUUUCACCUAAAGAGAUUAUUUAUUAUUAUGUUUUUUCCUGAAUUAUGCUGGAUCUGCUCCUGCCUUCUAGCCCUGCUAGUGCAUGUGAGGCCUCUGCAUCCUGCAACUCAUCAGCCUGGCUGGAACCACUAGGAACAGGGUGAAAAGUCUCCUUCCCAUCUCUCUUAGGAGCUCCAGGACUAUGUAGAAAUUCACAAGAAAACUGCCAGGGAAGCCAUGGACAUCUGCCUGGUCUCCUGCUGUGUUCAGGUCAGAGGGCCUGUGCCCUUGCUGGUAUGUGGCUUUCAGAGCCACACAGGGAAAGAUGUACAUGAUCCAUGAACGGUGCAGAUGUCCUGGAACUAGGGCCACCUGUGAGUGAGUACCCACAGAGAGAUUUAGUAUAAUUUAUAUGAUAAACAUUGACUGUACAUCUUCAUCUGAUUUAUCUCUCCUGCUCAGCAAUCAAAUCCUCCAAGUAAUCAAAUCCUACACUUGUUAUAAUCACAGCUUGCUUUAGAUGAACACAUUAUGCAUUUAUUUUCUCCCCAAACAGCCAACCCGCAGUGGGUUGCACAGGGCAAGCACUGCAAGGUUUUGCAAUCCGUCUCUCCCCCCUGAGAAGGGA
Passer montanus (Eurasian tree sparrow) is the source of this 1210-nucleotide long non-coding RNA. RefSeq lists it as uncharacterized. Lineage: Eukaryota; Metazoa; Chordata; Aves; Passeriformes; Passeridae. The record is from RefSeq and is a predicted model, not a curated record. The transcript has 5 exons.